Molecule: ribosomal RNA, 422 nt
Filed under: Blastobotrys petasosporus
Lineage: Eukaryota; Fungi; Ascomycota; Dipodascomycetes; Dipodascales; Trichomonascaceae
Description: Trichomonascus petasosporus partial small subunit ribosomal RNA
Rfam family: Bacterial small subunit ribosomal RNA
Source: RNAcentral
GUGCCAGCAGUCGCGGUAAAACGUAAAGGACAAGUAAUACACAUAAUAGGUAUAAAGAGUUAGCAAUACUGAUCUAAAUGAUCUAGAAUCUAUAAAUAAGUUAUUAUGAGGUAUAUGAGUAGCGGUUAAAUGUGUAAAUACAUAUACAACAACCAAUAAAGAAGUAAUAUAACUAAUACAUAGAUUGACGUUGAGUAACGAAACUUAGAGUAUCGAAUAGGACUAGUCAACCUAUUAGUUUUAAGUGUAAACGAUGUAUACUAAUAUUUAUAUACUGUCUUAGGACAAAUAAUAAUAAUAAUAUUAUUAUAAUAUGGAUAUAAAGCUAAUGCGUAAGUAUAUCACCAGGGGAGUACUUUAUAAUCGAAGAAACCCAAAACAAUAGACGGUUUGAGUGUUAACAGUGGAUUAUGUUAUUUAAU